CCUACGGGGGGCAGCAGUGGGGAAUAUUGGACAAUGGGCGAAAGCCUGAUCCAGCCAUGCCGCGUGUGUGAAGAAGGCCUUCGGGUUGUAAAGCACUUUCAGUGGGGAAGAAAGCCUUGGGGCUAAUACCCUCGAGGAAGGACAUCACCCACAGAAGAAGCACCGGCUAACUCCGUGCCAGCAGCCGCGGUAAUACGGAGGGUGCGAGCGUUAAUCGGAAUUACUGGGCGUAAAGCGCGCGUAGGCGGUCUGAUAAGCCGGUUGUGAAAGCCCCGGGCUCAACCUGGGAACGGCAUCCGGAACUGUCAGGCUAGAGUGCAGGAGAGGAAGGGAGAAUUCCCGGUGUAGCGGUGAAAUGCGUAGAGAUCGGGAGGAAUACCAGUGGCGAAGGCGGCCUUCUGGACUGACACUGACGCUGAGGUGCGAAAGCGUGGGUAGCAAACAGGAUUAGAUACCCUGUAGUC
This 464-nucleotide ribosomal RNA is filed under the name Vreelandella stevensii. RNAcentral's name for it is "partial 16S ribosomal RNA". It matches the Rfam family "Bacterial small subunit ribosomal RNA", at positions 338 to 795 of the family's 1533-position model. Lineage: Bacteria; Pseudomonadati; Pseudomonadota; Gammaproteobacteria; Oceanospirillales; Halomonadaceae. The record is from RNAcentral.